AGAAUAAACGCUGGCGGCGUGCUUAACACAUGCAAGUCGAGCGAGAAAGGUCUUCGGACUGAGUACAGCGGCGAACGGGUGAGUAACGCGUAGGAAUCUACCUUUUAGUGGAGAAUACUCCCGAGAAAUCGGGCUUAAUACUGCAUAAGUCUUGAAAGAGAGAAAGAUGGCCUCUUUGCUGUCGCUAAAAGAUGAGCCUGCGUACUAUUAGCUAGUUGGUAGGGUAAAGCCUACCAAGGCGAUGAUGGUUA
RNAcentral lists this ribosomal RNA (251 nucleotides) under uncultured bacterium. Its description in RNAcentral is "partial small subunit ribosomal RNA". It matches the Rfam family "Bacterial small subunit ribosomal RNA", at positions 26 to 285 of the family's 1533-position model. The record is from RNAcentral.